CCCUUAGAUGUUCUGGGCCGCACGCGCGCUACACUGACGAAGUCAGCGAGCAUGUCCUACGCCGACAGGUGCGGGGAAUCUUGUCAAACUUCGUCGUGAUGGGGAUUGAUUUUUGAAAUUCUUGAUCAUAAACGAGGAAUUCCUAGUAAGCGCAAGUCAGCAGCUUGCGUUGAUUACGUCCCUGCCCUUUGUACACACCGCCCGUCGCUACUACCGAUUGAGUGAUCCGGUGAAUAAUUCGGACUGCAGCACUGCUUGGUCUCCAGGCUUUGCAGCGGAAAGUUUAGUGAACCUUAUCACUUAGAGGAAGGAGAAGUCGUAACA
This 324-nucleotide ribosomal RNA is filed under the name uncultured eukaryote. Its description in RNAcentral is "partial 18S ribosomal RNA". It matches the Rfam family "Eukaryotic small subunit ribosomal RNA", at positions 1470 to 1796 of the family's 1831-position model. The record is from RNAcentral.